This is a long non-coding RNA of Ochotona curzoniae (black-lipped pika), 110 nucleotides long. RefSeq lists it as uncharacterized. The record is from RefSeq and is a predicted model, not a curated record. Lineage: Eukaryota; Metazoa; Chordata; Mammalia; Lagomorpha; Ochotonidae. The transcript has 4 exons.
AAAAGUUUUUUUUAAAGUAAGAGAAGGUCUCACCAAAAAGCCGUUGAACAUAUCUGGGCAAUAAUGUGAGGAUCACAAUGCUUGGUACAUGCUAGCAAUGAAGGAAUCUC